This 2278-nucleotide ribosomal RNA is filed under the name Salmonella enterica. RNAcentral's name for it is "bacterial LSU rRNA". It matches the Rfam family "Bacterial large subunit ribosomal RNA", at positions 690 to 2925 of the family's 2925-position model. The record is from RNAcentral. RNAcentral also lists the same sequence under 2 other names. Lineage: Bacteria; Pseudomonadati; Pseudomonadota; Gammaproteobacteria; Enterobacterales; Enterobacteriaceae.
GGGCGUUAAGUUGCAGGGUAUAGACCCGAAACCCGGUGAUCUAGCCAUGGGCAGGUUGAAGGUUGGGUAACACUAACUGGAGGACCGAACCGACUAAUGUUGAAAAAUUAGCGGAUGACCUGUGGCUGGGGGUGAAAGGCCAAUCAAACCGGGAGAUAGCUGGUUCUCCCCGAAAGCUAUUUAGGUAGCGCCUCGUGAACUCAUCUCCGGGGGUAGAGCACUGUUUCGGCUAGGGGGCCAUCCCGGCUUACCAACCCGAUGCAAACUGCGAAUACCGGAGAAUGUUAUCACGGGAGACACACGGCGGGUGCUAACGUCCGUCGUGAAGAGGGAAACAACCCAGACCGCCAGCUAAGGUCCCAAAGUCAUGGUUAAGUGGGAAACGAUGUGGGAAGGCCCAGACAGCCAGGAUGUUGGCUUAGAAGCAGCCAUCAUUUAAAGAAAGCGUAAUAGCUCACUGGUCGAGUCGGCCUGCGCGGAAGAUGUAACGGGGCUAAACCAUGCACCGAAGCUGCGGCAGCGACACUUUAGUGUUGUUGGGUAGGGGAGCGUUCUGUAAGCCGUUGAAGGUGUCCUGUGAGGGGUGCUGGAGGUAUCAGAAGUGCGAAUGCUGACAUAAGUAACGAUAAAGCGGGUGAAAAGCCCGCUCGCCGGAAGACCAAGGGUUCCUGUCCAACGUUAAUCGGGGCAGGGUGAGUCGACCCCUAAGGCGAGGCCGAAAGGCGUAGUCGAUGGGAAACGGGUUAAUAUUCCCGUACUUGGUGUUACUGCGAAGGGGGGACGGAGAAGGCUAUGUUGGCCGGGCGACGGUAGUCCCGGUUUAAGCGUGUAGGUGUGUGUUCCAGGCAAAUCCGGUUCACUUUAACACUGAGGCGUGAUGACGAGGCACCACGGUGCUGAAGCAACAAAUGCCCUGCUUCCAGGAAAAGCCUCUAAGCAUCAGGUAACAUCAAAUCGUACCCCAAACCGACACAGGUGGUCAGGUAGAGAAUACCAAGGCGCUUGAGAGAACUCGGGUGAAGGAACUAGGCAAAAUGGUGCCGUAACUUCGGGAGAAGGCACGCUGACACGUAGGUGAAGUGAUUUACUCACGGAGCUGAAGUCAGUCGAAGAUACCAGCUGGCUGCAACUGUUUAUUAAAAACACAGCACUGUGCAAACACGAAAGUGGACGUAUACGGUGUGACGCCUGCCCGGUGCCGGAAGGUUAAUUGAUGGGGUCAGCGCAAGCGAAGCUCCUGAUCGAAGCCCCGGUAAACGGCGGCCGUAACUAUAACGGUCCUAAGGUAGCGAAAUUCCUUGUCGGGUAAGUUCCGACCUGCACGAAUGGCGUAAUGAUGGCCAGGCUGUCUCCACCCGAGACUCAGUGAAAUUGAACUCGCUGUGAAGAUGCAGUGUACCCGCGGCAAGACGGAAAGACCCCGUGAACCUUUACUAUAGCUUGACACUGAACAUUGAGCCUUGAUGUGUAGGAUAGGUGGGAGGCUUUGAAGCGUGGACGCCAGUCUGCGUGGAGCCGACCUUGAAAUACCACCCUUUAAUGUUUGAUGUUCUAACGUGGACCCGUAAUCCGGGUUGCGGACAGUGUCUGGUGGGUAGUUUGACUGGGGCGGUCUCCUCCUAAAGAGUAACGGAGGAGCACGAAGGUUGGCUAAUCCUGGUCGGACAUCAGGAGGUUAGUGCAAUGGCAUAAGCCAGCUUGACUGCGAGCGUGACGGCGCGAGCAGGUGCGAAAGCAGGUCAUAGUGAUCCGGUGGUUCUGAAUGGAAGGGCCAUCGCUCAACGGAUAAAAGGUACUCCGGGGAUAACAGGCUGAUACCGCCCAAGAGUUCAUAUCGACGGCGGUGUUUGGCACCUCGAUGUCGGCUCAUCACAUCCUGGGGCUGAAGUAGGUCCCAAGGGUAUGGCUGUUCGCCAUUUAAAGUGGUACGCGAGCUGGGUUUAGAACGUCGUGAGACAGUUCGGUCCCUAUCUGCCGUGGGCGCUGGAGAAUUGAGGGGGGCUGCUCCUAGUACGAGAGGACCGGAGUGGACGCAUCACUGGUGUUCGGGUUGUCAUGCCAAUGGCACUGCCCGGUAGCUAAAUGCGGAAAAGAUAAGUGCUGAAAGCAUCUAAGCACGAAACUUGCCCCGAGAUGAGUUCUCCCUGAGACUUUGAGUCUCCUGAAGGAACGUUAAAGACGAUGACGUUGAUAGGCCGGGUGUGUAAGCGCAGCGAUGCGUUGAGCUAACCGGUACUAAUGAACCGUGAGGCUUAACCUUACAACGCCGAAGGUGUUU